AUAUCAUAAUGCAAGAUGCAUUUAGUCCAACUUCAGAGGACCCCAGAGUCUAAGUAUCAACACUGUUUAAAAGUCUAAAAUUUCUUCUGUAACUUAAGACAAUCUCUUAACUGUAACCCUGUAUAAAAGAAAUAAUAAUAAAAAAAGCAGAUCACAUACUUCUAACAUACAAUGGCACAGAAUAUACAUUACCAUUCCAAAGGGAGGAAAGGGCACAUAGUGAGGAAAUACUGGACCAAAGCAAGACUUAAAUAAAACCUAGCAGGGAAAACUCCAAAUUCGGUGUCUCCAUGUCAAAGUCUCUUCAGAUCUACAGCUCCCUUCAGCUUUGUUGACUGAAACACUUCUCUCUUUGGGUCUGGUUCCACACCCUGUUAGCAGCUCUUCUUGACAGUUAUCCCACAACACUGGCAUUUCCAGCAUCUUGGGGUCUUCACAAUUAAGGCUUCACCUUCACAGCUUCCCACAGUGGCCCCUCUGUACCUCAUGCAGGGACUGCCUUGCCAACUUCCUGGCCCGUUUGGCUUUCCUUAACCUCAGAUGAAGAUUCAGCAACCCCUUUACCCUGAAUCCUGGACUCGUACUCCAGAACCAACUGGCUGAAGUGCCAUGGUUUUCUGCUUGCUACUUGAAAUGUGUCUUAGUCACUAGGGCUAGGGCUAGAACCAGUGCCCCUAAUUUUAUUACGUUUUCAGUUCUUGGUGAUCUUCUUUUCUAUCUAAGCUUUCUUUUAAUGCCCCUUUGUAAGUGGGGAGCCUAGCUGGGUGGAGUCUUGCCCUGAGGUCACUGCUCCUUAUUGCACUUAGUGUCAGGCUUUCCUUUAAACAUUUGAUCUUCAUGAGCACAAGACUUGGCUUCAACAUCACCUUUCCUGCUGUUCUUUUUCGACUUGGCCCACUUGCUCCUUUUUGUUGUAGAUCUGCACAAGAGUGAUUACUAAUAACCAUGUGACACAGUCAGUAAUAGGCUGCCAUUCGAAAUCUCCUCUGCUAAUAACUGUUAAUCCAAAACUCUUCAAUUUAACCUCUGGCAUAGAUUUUUGGGUAAAGGCAAAAAGCUGCCAUAUCCUUUAUGAAAAUAUCACAAGAAUGGUCUCUAGGCCACUUAACUAAUAUUCUUCUCCUUUGAAACCUCUUGAGCUGGGCCCAUGUUGCUCUUAGUACUACUUCCAAGCAACUAGUAGGAUGGCCCAGUUAAGCCCUGCUUAAAAUAUUCAAUGACUUUUCUUGUAUAAUGUCCCAGUGUUUUUCUGUUUCUUCAACAAAUAGCAUGUUGAGCCCUGGCACAGCAAUGCACCACUCCCUGGUACCAAUUUCUUCCUUAGUCAAGAGCUAAACGUCCUGAUCCAUGGGCAAUAGAUAGGCACAGAGAGAUACUGGGCUAGAUGUGUUCUUUCCAAGCUGUACAACUGGAGACCAAGAGUGCAAAUAGAUGAGCCUCUGAGGAUCAUUUCUAUUCAAACCACCAGAAAGUGAUACAGUGAGAUUAACAAAUCCUGUUCUGGACAGAAACAAGAACAGAGACCAUGGCUUAUCUCACCCAGGCUAUUCUGGGUUCUUUUGUGUUUUCUCAUUUCAUGUUUGAAAACUGAAUCUGUUCUCAUCAGAUUUCAAAAGGCAAUGCAGUGAUGGAAGAGAAAGAUAAAGUGGGGGCAGAGGUCUCCUGGCUCGUGGGAAGGCAGUUGCUUGGCACUCACUGGAUUUGCUGGGCUGUAAUUGAACUGCAAGUCAAGAAGCAUCUCUAUGAGGUAGCCUGGGGCCUGCAGAUAAGCAGUCAUUUUCCAAGAAGUACCUGAGCAGUCACCAGCUUCUCCUUAUUAUUGUGUUCAGUGAACGUAACCGGGCAGGAAGCCUUUGUCCCGACUUUUAAGAAAAGCUUUUCUUUUCAAACAUCAAAAGACAAAAAUGUAUGAAGUCUCCACUGGGACUGGAGAAUAUCCAUCGAGCUUACUUACAUGGGUCUGGGCAGAACAUUUCUGUUCCUUAUCUAUUGGCGUCUCUAUUGAGCUGUGUACAGCACGGCUGCUGGCUUCCCCCAGAGCGAGUGAUCUAAGAAAAAGACCCAAACAGAAGGCUCAGCGUGGACCUGCAAUCUUAGAAGUGACAUAUAACCAUCAGGGCGAUAGUCUGUUCAUUGCAGAAACCAACCUUGGUAAAACUCUGGGAGGGAUUCCAUAAAGAUGUGGAUUCUGGCCCCAAAGACCAUCUAGGGCCUUCGUGGGGGCCACUAACAUUCGUGAAGGAUUACUGAGGGACAUCUUGUGCCAUGUUGCCUUCAUACGCGCACUGGAUUUAAACAUGCUUGAGUUUGGCCCCCACUGCUGCUUCCAGUUCCUUUAUCUUACAGACUAGGAGAAUGAACAUCAGCAAAUGGGAUGACCUGGUUCAGUCUUCUUCCAAUACCCCUUCCAAUCGCCAGAGCUGCCAUAAUUUCACCCAUAAAACAGUGUACCUCACAACUUUAAUGUCAAAGUGAAUGCAAACCUUACCUCUAAGCCAGAAUUAAACCUUUCAACAUGCUACUAAGGAGUUAAAGUAACAAACAAAACACAAUAUGUUGUUCUCUUCGUUAGAAACAAUUGAUUAUAAUUUUAGUUCCCAACACUUUUAAUGUGAUAGAUAAUGUGCAAGGAAUUAAAAGAUUUUAAUGGUGCUACCCCUUAUGAGAGGAAGUUGUCAGUGUACUGAGAAUCCCAUAAGUAAGUAUUUUUGUGGAAUGUAUUUCUUCUGCAUUGCUGAAUGGCAGCCAGAUUUUUGUCAGAAAAAUAAAUUAGAAAAUGUUGUUUUCCUGGUUUCAGGGAACUUCUGGGCUCAGUGUUCAGUUUUCAGACCACAAAUCCAUGAUUCAUCAAAAAAUGACCAGGAUUAAUGAGCACAGAGUGUUUCAUUUGCUGCUGGCUGUCACCCUACCUUUUGAUGGUUCCUACUCUAUACUGUGUCUGCAAAUUCCAUUCUCACUGGAACACAUAUAAAUCAGAACCAUUAACAAUGUUGAAACACAGCUCCAAGCCAGUCUCUUAGCUGAGGUUGUUCUUCAGGACAAGGUGUUUUCUACUUACUUCGACUUCAGUUUAAAGCCACAAAGCCAUGACUGUGUGCUUGUGGAGCUUGGAUAUAUUUGUAGCUUACUGUUCAUCUCUAGGACGUCUGUGGUCUGCUGUGGCGUGCCAGGUGGCAAACGGUGAUCAGUUUGGUAUAGGGAAAGAAUCUUUUCUUUACAUCUGACUAUGCAAGUAUAUUUGAUAAAUAAUUUUAGAACUCUUUAUGUAUUCUGGGCCUCAUGUUCUGAAAAGGGAGAAAGAUUCACACAAUUGGUGUCAUCUGGGUGGCUGUGGAGAUGGCUCUGCAGGUAAAAUCACUGGCCACCAAGCCUAAGGAUUUGAGCUUGAUCCCUGGGACCCACAGGAUGGAAUGUGAGAAAGACUCCUACAGUUUGUUCUCGGAUUAUCACCACGGUGCAUGGGUGCGUGCAGGCACUCACUCUAAAUAAAUUCAGAAAAAAAAAAAAAAAAAGAAGCUUGUGGUGUAGCUGUUGGAUAAGCUUGACAGGAAUAGUUAUGUAACAAUGUGCUAUAACAAAAGUUAUUCACAAAAUGUUCAAGAAAGAAGAAAGAUUGUUUCUCCAUGACAGGGGAAGGAGAGACAUCAGCAAGACCGUUCCCUGCAUCCAUCCCUCCAUUGAGUUUCAGGUCAACAAUAGAAUUUCCACAAACUUGUGACAGAAUGCUUUUUUAAAAUGGUGAACAAUGAUUCUAAAACCCCAAAGUUCCAUAAGGUAACUGAUUUUAAAACUUAUUUAGCUACAGUUAUGUUCAUUCCAUAAGUUUUCUAUUGUGUUUUUUUUCCUUCUUCUAAAGUUAUGAUAAUAACAUUUGUGACUAGCUUCUCUAAUUACAAAAUGAAACUUGACAGACUCAUUCCAAUGCACUUAUAGGGGGUAUUUUUUCAUUAUUAUUAUUGAUUGGUCCUUCAAAUCCAAAGAUUAGAGCCUUGUUAAUGGUUCCACCUGAGCUGGAGACGGAAGAGAGAUGCACUUGUUUGGAAAGGAACACCUGCUUAUUGGCCUAAUCACAUCUGCAUUAAGGGAAAAUUAAUUUGC
Molecule: long non-coding RNA, 4098 nt
Filed under: Mus musculus (house mouse)
Lineage: Eukaryota; Metazoa; Chordata; Mammalia; Rodentia; Muridae
Description: long non-coding RNA chr4:11969836-11973934
Source: RNAcentral